CUUUGGCAUGCAAACAUGCUCAAGUCUGUCUUAUUAAAAAAGAAAAUAAAAAACAAAAACAACCUCUCUUACAUUCACUUCUCAACCCAAAGUCUGGCUUCAGUGCCCACCAUUCCACUGAAACUGCUUCCCCAAGGGAGCUGUGACCUCCCUGCCCCCAAAAUCCAGUGGAUGUGUUAUUGGUUCCUUAUUAUUCUGGACUUGUUGCCAGUGUUGCACACUGUUGACCACUCUCUCCUGCUUGAAGCGUCUGUUCCAGUGGCUUACAUUACACAGUACUCUUCUGGUUUCCUUCCUACCUCUGUAGCUGUGGCUUUUCAGUCUCAUGUGGUCUUCUUUUCUUCCUUUUGCUUAAAUACUAGUGUUCUUCACAGUUGGUUCCCUCCUGAGACCCCUUCUCUCCUCAUUCCUUCAAGGUCACCAUCUCCAACACUGAACUUAUGUUCUUUGUCCCAGUCCUGUCUCCCAACCUGUCCUUCAUCUUGUGUUCAGUGUUUCAGUACAUAGCAGCUUCCAUAUACCUCGUGACCUGGGCAUGAUCUUUAACUUUUUUCCCCCACCUCUCUCUGAGUGUGGCUAACUACUGACCACGUUUUGUCAGUUCCACUUCCUCACUAUCUCUGGAAGCUGUGUACUAUUCUACACUCUCACUGCCCUACUCUGGUUCAUGCCAUCACUGCUUGCCUGUAAUCCUUCAGUAGCAUCCUAAGUGGCCUCUUUUCUUUCCUUCUGGUGUCCCCCUUCCUCUCAAUCUAUCCUCCAUCCAGAUUGAGCUUUCUGCAAUACAAAUGAGUUAUUUUCUCUCCCCUGAUUUCAGCCUCUCGUUAUCCUUUGGAUAAGGUCCAAAACCUGUAACACAUGACCCUCAGAGCCCUUUGUGAUGUAUUUCUCAUUCCCUCUUCAGCUUCAGCUGUAAUUGUCCUUCCCAACUUUCUUUGGACAAUUUGAAAACCUUCUUUUUGCUCUUCCUGGCCCUGCACAGAUUAGUUGUCCUCCCUGAACACUUUCAUUCUUCUUCCCCCUUGCCCAGUCAUCUUUCUAGAUCACCUCAGGCAUCACCUCCUCUGGGAAGUCCAGGUGAGAUUACCUUUCUGGGAGUCCUCUGCUCCCUGGAAUUUGUCACACUGUGUUAUGAUUUCCAGUUUGUCCAUCCUUGUCACCCAUUAGUUCCUUGAAAGAGGGACCACAACUGUUAGUUCUUGUCACAACCUCUCUGCUUCACACAUUGCUAGGCAUGCAGUCCCUGCCCAAUAAAUAUUUAUGAGAUGAAUUAACUGGUUUUUGUGUGUGUGUUUUUCUUAAAUAGCAUUUGUAAAGACAGUUAUUAGCAAUUUAUAAAGAUUUUAUCAGCCAGGUGCGGUGGCUCACGCCUGUAAUCCCAGCACUUUGGGAGGCCAAGGCGAGUGUUCAUGAGGUCAGGAGAUCAAGACCAUCCUGGCCAACAUGGUGAAACC
RNAcentral lists this long non-coding RNA (1454 nucleotides) under Homo sapiens (human). Its description in RNAcentral is "non-protein coding lnc-ELL2-4:1". The record is from RNAcentral. Lineage: Eukaryota; Metazoa; Chordata; Mammalia; Primates; Hominidae.